GAUGAACGCUGGCGGCGUGCCUAAUACAUGCAAGUCGAGCGAACAGACGAGGAGCUUGCUCCUCUGACGUUAGCGGCGGACGGGUGAGUAACACGUGGAUAACCUACCUAUAAGACUGGGAUAACUUCGGGAAACCGGAGCUAAUACCGGAUAAUAUAUUGAACCGCAUGGUUCAAUAGUGAAAGACGGUUUUGCUGUCACUUAUAGAUGGAUCCGCGCCGCAUUAGCUAGUUGGUAAGGUAACGGCUUACCAAGGCAACGAUGCGUAGCCGACCUGAGAGGGUGAUCGGCCACCCUAGAACUGAGCCACGGUCCAGACUCCUACGGGAGGCAGCAGUAGGGAAUCUUCCGCAGUGGGCGAAAGCCUGACGGAGCAACGCCGCGUGAGUGAUGAAGGUCUUCGGAUCGUAAAACUCUGUUAUUAGGGAAGAACAAAUGUGUAAGUAACUAUGCACGUCUUGACGGUACCUAAUCAGAAAGCCACGGCUAACUACGUG
Molecule: ribosomal RNA, 497 nt
Filed under: uncultured bacterium
Lineage: Bacteria
Description: partial 16S ribosomal RNA
Rfam family: Bacterial small subunit ribosomal RNA
Source: RNAcentral